UGCGAAGGGGGCUAGCGUUUCUCGGAAUCACUGGGCGUAAAGCGCACGUAGGCGGACUCUUAAGUCGGUGGUUAAAUCCUGGAGCUCAACUCCAGAACUGCCUUUGAUACUGAAGAUCUUGAGUCCGGGAGAGGUGAGUGGAACUGCGAGUGUAGAGGUGAAAUUCGUAGAUAUUCGCAAGAACACCAGUGGCGAAGGCGGCUCACUGGCCCGGUACUGACGCUGAGGCACGAAAGCGUGGGGAGCAAACAGG
This 253-nucleotide ribosomal RNA is filed under the name uncultured bacterium. Its description in RNAcentral is "partial 16S ribosomal RNA". It matches the Rfam family "Bacterial small subunit ribosomal RNA", at positions 524 to 776 of the family's 1533-position model. The record is from RNAcentral.